AGUUUGAUCCUGGCUCAGGAUGAACGCUAGCUACAGGCUUAACACAUGCAAGUCGAGGGGCAUCAGUUUGGUUUGCUUGCAAACCAAAGCUGGCGACCGGCGCACGGGUGAGUAACACGUAUCCAACCUGCCUCAUACUCGGGGAUAGCCUUUCGAAAGAAAGUUUAUUCCCGAAAUGAUUAUUUCCCCCGAGUGUUUUUUAUAAAAAAAAUUCCGGUGGGGAGUGGGAUCGUUUCCUUUUGUUUGGUGGGGGGUAACCCGCCCACAAAAACUUCGGUGGAUUGGGGUUUGGAGAGGAAGGUCCCCCCACAUUGGAAAUGGAACCCGGGUCCAAAUUCCUAGGGGGGAGCAACCAGUGAGGAAUUUUGGUCAAUGGACGGGAUUUUUGACCCAGCCAAGUAGCGUGAAGGAUGACUGCCCUAUGGGUUGUAAACUUCUUUUAUAUGGGAAUAAAGUUGUCCACGUGUGGAUUUUUGUAUGUACCAUAUGAAUAAGGAUCGGCUAACUCCGUGCCAGCAGCCGCGGUAAUACGGAGGAUCCGAGCGUUAUCCGGAUUUAUUGGGUUUAAAGGGAGCGUAGGCGGAUUGUUAAGUCAGUUGUGAAAGUUUGCGGCUCAACCGUAAAAUUGCAGUUGAUACUGGCAGUCUUGAGUGCAGUAGAGGUGGGCGGAAUUCGUGGUGUAGCGGUGAAAUGCUUAGAUAUCACGAAGAACUCCGAUUGCGAAGGCAGCUCACUGGAGUGUAACUGACGCUGAUGCUCGAAAGUGUGGGUAUCAAACAGGAUUAGAUACCCUGGUAGUCCACACAGUAAACGAUGAAUACUCGCUGUUUGCGAUAUACAGUAAGCGGCCAAGCGAAAGCAUUAAGUAUUCCACCUGGGGAGUACGCCGGCAACGGUGAAACUCAAAGGAAUUGACGGGGGCCCGCACAAGCGGAGGAACAUGUGGUUUAAUUCGAUGAUACGCGAGGAACCUUACCCGGGCUUAAAUUGCAAAUGAAUUAUGGGGAAACCCAUACGCCGCAAGGCAUUUGUGAAGGUGCUGCAUGGUUGUCGUCAGCUCGUGCCGUGAGGUGUCGGCUUAAGUGCCAUAACGAGCGCAACCCUUAUCUUCAGUUACUAACAGGUCAUGCUGAGGACUCUGGAGAGACUGCCGUCGUAAGAUGUGAGGAAGGUGGGGAUGACGUCAAAUCAGCACGGCCCUUACGUCCGGGGCUACACACGUGUUACAAUGGGGGGUACAGAAGGCCGCUACCUGGUGACAGGAUGCCAAUCCCAAAAACCUCUCUCAGUUCGGAUCGAAGUCUGCAACCCGACUUCGUGAAGCUGGAUUCGCUAGUAAUCGCGCAUCAGCCAUGGCGCGGUGAAUACGUUCCCGGGCCUUGCACACACCGCCCGUC
RNAcentral lists this ribosomal RNA (1397 nucleotides) under uncultured bacterium. RNAcentral describes it as "bacterial SSU rRNA". It matches the Rfam family "Bacterial small subunit ribosomal RNA". The record is from RNAcentral.